UGCUUCCUAGGGCUAAACGGUGUCGUUUGGUGGGGUGGGGAGCGGCGAGAGCAACCCCGACCGGGACUUUUUCCAUCUCCUCAAUUCCACUGUUUAUUCCACUGUAGCCAAGGAUUUUUGCAUAAACUCCCAAUCUCCUCUGCAUAAUUAAUUUCAUUUUAUUUAUUUAUUUAUUUUAAUUUUUUGUAGUUUUUGCUUGUUUACGCAAAAAUCAUUGACUAGCAGAGGGCAGAGGAAUGAGUGUUUUUGCAGGAUCGGAUCUGAACCCAGUUCACCAUUUUCCACUGUCUUUUCUUAUUUUCUUCUAUGAUUUUUUUUCUUUGAAUUUAGUUGAUAAAAUUUGUUGCUUUUUAUGUUGUUGAUUACUAAAUUAUGUAUUUGUUUUUCCUUUUUGUUACUAUACUCAGUUAUUUGGGAGUUGAAUUUAGUUGUAGAACAGGCAAAUUUAAAAGGAAAAAGUUCAAGAAAGUUAUUUAUUCUAUUUAGUUAUCCUAUGGUUAAUUGUAUAUGUGGUGGUGUUGUUUUUGUAUGUCAAAAUGAUUAGUCAAAAGUAAGAAAUUUGAAUUUUGAUCAUAAGGAAUUUCGGUACAUUGCAGGGUAUAUUAUUAGUUAAUGGGAAAGGAAUAAUUCAAACAUCGAAAAUAAAAAGAGUGCAUUUUUCUGUUUUAGUAGUAGUUUUACUUUUUGGGGAGGAAUUUUGUAUCUAGAUGUUGUAGAUUAGUCAGUUGUAAUGAGCAUCUUGAUGCAUUUGGACUUGGAAGGCACAAUUAUCUAGUAGAACAUUGGCAUUUGCCUUGUAGGAGUAUUCCACAUUGUAAAAGAGGCAUCAGUGGAGGGUUAGAGAUUGAGUGUGAAGUUGAUUUAUCAUCAAGCUAAUUACAUAAUCCCGAGUUAUCUUUUCUAUUCUUCAGGCAAAUUUGAUCUAUAAAAUGCUGCAGAAAAUGCGCUUAUGCCUGUAGAGUUUUACAGAUAGGUUUAUCAAACAGUAGUUUACAAGAGUCCUUUCUGUUCAAUGAUCAUAUUAUCCCUUUUUGAAUUCUUAAACCUUUUUUUUCAAAGGAGUAUACAACAUCUGUUUGGUUCUAUUGCAUGCGGUUUUAUACACAGACAUGACUGUAUCCAAAUAUGCAUAUGCAUGUACAACAAGUCUGGUGCUUUUAUUGGGGUAAUUGUGGUUUUAACUUAUAGAUGAAAACUUGUACUAGUAUACAGAGUUCUUGUAUUGCAAGGAAAUGAUAAAACAACCCCCAGGUUUUAGGUAUUGCAAGGAAAAUAUCUGUUGAUUUGCUUGCUUGUCACCAUUGCACUGCAACCUGGUUUUAGGUAAAGCCCUUGUCGAGGACUGUGCAUGGCCGAUGGGGAGACUGUGUACCUGGCUUCAUAAGAAAAGAUCCCCUGGUCUACAUGCAGUUAUUAACGUGUCGGUUAGUAAAAGCUGCUCGUUGUCCUGUUUGACUCCUGAAUGUUGUAGAGCAGACUUAUUUCGUCACUCAAGCAGAAUUAGAAAAGAUGCCUGCACCGUUAAGAAUACUUGUGCCUUCAAGGGCAAACUUUUUCUGCAUCACAUGUGCGACAUUCUAAGAUACGGGCUUCUCAAAUGACACCUCGGAUGGUUACUACCUUCAAUUCCCUUGAUUUGCAGUCCCAUGGAGAUAUGAUGCCGUGUUGCAACGGUGAAAUAGUUGGUUCCAUGAGAUAUGAUAAUCUUCCUCUUCUUGUCUCUCUGAAACUCAUGAUGGAGCUCCCUCUCAAGCUUAAUAUACAGCCUUCUUUUUCAUCUCUGCGCCUGCAAAAGAUAAUUGUUGCAGCUUAAUCUUGGACAACACUCAGAGCUCUGGCAACUGCAGUGUAGAACAUGCAAGGCUAUCAUAUGGCAAUAAAGGUAGAGUGAGGAAGGGUGAUGUUGUCUCUGAGUUUUGAUUUUUUUUUUUUUUUUUUAUGUAUUCUUUCUGAUAGUUUGUGAGUGAUAGAAUAUACAGCAACGGGCCUUAAUUAUAAAUGACAAAUCAAUUGUGCAAGUUAGUGUGGGCUUGGAUGGGUGCUUGUUCCUUGGUGGGUAUUAUGUGUUUUAAGAACAAUCUAAAAUCCCAAGUACUCAUUCUGUUCCGAUUCCACUUCA
Coffea arabica (coffee) is the source of this 2119-nucleotide non-coding RNA. Lineage: Eukaryota; Viridiplantae; Streptophyta; Magnoliopsida; Gentianales; Rubiaceae. The record is from RefSeq and is a predicted model, not a curated record.